UAACUGAUCGUCUGACGUCAUCUGCAUAUUUGACUCUCGCACCGCGAAUUACAAGUGCUUUAUUUGUGUUUAAGUUUGGCCCAAAAUGGCAUUCUGUAGUUGUAUUUACAAGCAAAACAUAAAGUUUUAGCUUUAAAAAACAAAGUUUUAUAUAUAUAUAAAAGCAGAAGCAUAGAAGUCUUGUGCUCCCAUGUUUAUUUAACAUUAGAGAUAGCAGGAACACUCUCGAGGUGGGAAUGUACAAUGGAAAACCCGGUGAAAAACAAGGCCUCUGAUGAUCCUUGUAUGCUGAAUAUAAUCUUAUAAAACUCUAAUCAACAACAGAAAUAUAAUUAACCGCAGUGAGGUGAGAUGUAAAGCGCCGACAGAGACUGGAUCUCCACACCGAGGAAUCUGAGGAAUGUUUUACCUUCUCUGCUUCUCCACGACCGGGUCUGGAUAAACGCUCACAUGGAGUUUUUUGGACCGUCAUUAAGAUAAAAAUCAGAUGUUGUUUUCUCUCCUCUCUCUCUCUCUCUCCUCUCUCUCUCUCUCUCUCUCUCUCUCUCCAGGCUUCAAAACAUGCCAAGAAUUUCCACUAAAGCGUUUGAAGGCUGAACUUUGCUUUUACCACACGGGGCAAACCAAACCUCAGGAGCAGUAAACGCUAUGAUUCAGCUGGAAAUGUAAAGCCAGACCUCACCGCACGCACACACACACACACACACACACACACACACACACACACACAUAAUCUAUAUUACAGUGUACAGUAAGUGAAGUGUGUGUGCCAGCAUUCAUAUUAGUUACAAUGAAAUCCCUCUCAGAAUAACAACCACAGAAAAACCUUCAGCUCAACAAUUAGAUAUAGAAUUAAACAAAUCAAAUGGUACAGCUUUCCUUUAUGGCUUACGUUUGCAUUUGUAUCAAUAAAAUACAGUACAUGUGCAAUAAUUUCACUGGACACCACCAGGCAUCACUGGACACCAACAGACAACACUGGGCACCACUGGGCAUCAUUAGAAACCAACAGGCAAUAAUGGACACCAACAGGCAACACUGGGCAUCACUAGACACCAACAAACAACACUGGACACCAACAGGCAACACUGCACAUCACUGGACACCAACAGACAACACUGGACACCAACAGGCAACACCGCACAUCACUGGACACCAACAGGCAACACUGGGCACCACUGGACACCAACAGACAACACUGGACACCAACAGGCACCACUGGGCACCACUGGACACCAACAGACAACACUGGACACCAACAGGCAACACUGCACAUCACUGGACACCAACAGACAACACUGGACACCAACAGGCACCACUGGGCACCACUGGACACCAACAGACACCACUGGACACCAACAGGCAACACUGGACACCACUGGACACCAACAGACAACACUGGACACCAGCAGGCAACACUGGACACCAACAGGCAACACUGGGCAUCACUGGACACCAACAGGCAUCAUUGGACACCAAGAGGCAACACUGGGCACCACUGGACACAAGCAGGCAUCACUGGACACCAACAGCAACACUGGGCACCAACAGGCAACACUGGGCAUCACUGCACACUAAUGGGCACCACUGGACAUCACCAGGCACCACCGGGAACCACCGCUCUGAUCCAUGGAAUGAUCCAUUUAUCCCCAGAAUCCACAAGAGCUUCACAAAGCAAGCACGGACAGAUGAGCAGAGGGCCGAGCCACGAGACGGCUCAGAACCAUAGCACCAAAAUCCCUGCCAUUGAUGCAAGUAACAGUACAACAGAAUAGAUCAGCUGCUGCACUCGAUCCAGGCAUACACGAAUUACACCCGGGGAAAUCUGCCGCUCACGCUCACCGUCAUGACCAGUAACCAGCGGACAAAAAAAAGGAAAGACAAAAGAAAAAGCCCCAACGAGAAGCAGAAGCAAAAACAUGUACAGUGUACUCUCAAGAAGCACGACAUUAACUUUUACUGCUGUCACGCCCACAGGGGACUGUAAUUAAACACUCACAGCACAAUUAAAUUUAAUACGAUAGAAAAUUGACGCAUUCCUGUAUCGUGCGGGUAGAGGCAGGACGCGAGUGCGUGUUUGGGCGAGUCCACAAAUCAACAUUGUAGUCCAUCGUGUAGGUCAAAGAACAGGAAGGGAACGAUGGAUUUGGAUGAUCUAAUGAAAGGCUUAACACAGAACAGGUGAACACAUUAGGGUAAUCAACCACUUUUUGGAAAUAUUAUGACAAUUUCGAACGUUCCUAACUACUGAAUUGAACUUUCCUAAGUUUUCCCUGCAGGUGCUGGCCCACCUGACACCUCGUCACCUUUCCUCACCGCACCUCUCCUUCCUUUCAUCACUCUCUUUUUACGAGCUGGAGGAAAUCUCUCUCCACAGCAUGGGACAACGACUGAAUCACCUGCCUUAAAAGUCACUGCUCCACACUUUCUCCAGUUUUACGAGCUGGAAAAGAUCCAGAAGCUCCACCACGCUUUCCACAGAAGGUCCCAGAAUCAGUUUAAUAGCAGAGAGACGGGGUUUCCAAAUGGAAUGAACUACCGCAGACCUCCUACUGGAAGAUAUAUGGCACACGUCUGCUACAGCCAUGAGAUCUCUGUUUGACACGAUAAAAUGAUUUCGAGCAUAAACCCGAAUCAUAACGAGAUUAACGGCGGGACUUUAAAUCACGAUUAAAACUAAAUCCAAGAUCUACAAUGUAAAGGAAACGAUCAUAUAAAUGAACUGGGAGCUAUCAUCUGGAUUAUCAGUUAACGUAUAAAUUAGCAUGUCAAUUAUUUCUACUUCGGUAAACAUCUAUAUCUAACACCUAUCCCCUUUAGGUUCUUAUAAUAACCAAAGUGAUACAUAAUUAAUAUUUAUUCAAAUAUUUAAUUAGUACACUACAGAUUCUGAUUCAAUUCAAUUCAGUUUUAUUUGUGUAGUGCUUUUUACAAAGGACGUUGUCUUAAAGCAGCUUUACAGAAAUAUAUAAACACAGGAUAGAGAUUGUAAGUGUGGAUGGAUGGAUGGAUGGAUGGAGUUUAUCCCUAUUGAGCGAGACGGUGGUGACGGUGGUGAGGAAAAACUCCCUGAGAUGAUAUGAGGAAGAAACCUUGAGAGGAACCGGACUCAGGAGGAAACCCGUCUUCGUCUGGGUAACGACGGAUAGUGUGAGAGUGAAAGAAAGUUCAUUAUGGUUUAUGAUUAAUCUGUAGCCACGCCCUGAUAGACUGAUUAAGCUGUAGUCUCGCCCUGACUGACUGUUUAAGAUGUCGUCACGCCCUGAUAACUGAUUAAGCUGUAGCCACGCCCUGAUAGACUGAUUAAUCUGUAGCCAUGCCCUGAUAGACUGAUUAAUCUGUAGCCACGCCCUGAUAGACUGAUUAAUCUGUAGCCACGCCCUGAUAGACUGAUUAAUCUGUAGCCACGCCCUGAUAGACUGAUUAAUCUGUAGCCACGCCCUGAUAGACUGAUUAAUCUGUAGCCACACCCUGAUAGACUGAUUAAUCUGUAGCCACGCCCCAAUAGACUGAUUAAGCUGUAGCCACACCCUGACAGACUGAUUCAUCUUUAGCCACGCCCUGAUGGACUGAUUAGGCUGUAGCCACGCCCUGAUGGACUGAUUAAGCUGUAGCACCGCCCUGAUGGACUGAUUAAGCUGUAGCGAUGCCCUGAUAGACUGAUUAAUCUGUAGCCACGCCCUGAUAGACUGAUUAAGCUGUAGCCACGCCUGACGGCCUGAUUCAUCUUUAGCCACGCCCUGAUGGACUGAUUAAUCUGUGGUCACAGUCUGAUGGACUGAUUAAGCUGUAGCCCCGCCCUGAUGGACUGAUUAAGCUGUAGCCCCGCCCUGAAGGACUGAUUAAGAUGUAGCCAUGCCCUGAUGGACUGAUUGGGCCACGCCCUGAUGAGCUACCUGAUAGGUGUCCCCAUCCUCAUGGGACAGCUGCCUGGCCGGUGACCCUGCCCUUCACCAACACACACAAAAUCAUUUCAAUCGUUUCAACCCCAAACCCCUCCUGGGAUAAGCAAUGAUGAUUAAAACAAAACUAAACUUCUGAAAGCCACUUCUGAAUCAGUCAUGACACACUCAGACACACACUCAGACAUACACACACACACACACACACACACACAGACACGCGAGCACGCUCCGGUCACGCCGUGUGUGUAAGCAGCAUGUUUUAAUAAUUACUCAGUGAAGUGAGACAUAGCCGAGACCCUGAGGUUCAUCAUCGUCUCCGUUCUUUCCCGGAUCUUUAAUUUCCUUUAAACACUUCUCCAGACUGCACAUAUGGCCUUUCAUUCACACGACGGAAUCAGGAUUGCUGAUCUGUGGGCAGAUUGUUAUCCAAAAAAAAAAAAAAAAAAGCUUUAACGGAUCCAGGAACAGCCGGCACGCUCCUAAACGCUUCGUUUGAUGAGCUGUCAUUAACGUGACCUUUUGGAUAAGUGCCUCGUCCAAGUUCAGUCGAGCUCGAGAGAAACGUGGCGCUUUUUUUUACAACGGUUUAGUUCCAAACCAGCAUCGAGAACUGAGAGAGAGAGAGAGAGAGAGAGAGAGAGAGAGAGAGAGACAGAGAGAGACAGAGAGAGAGACAGAGACAGAGACAGAGAGAGAGCAAGACAGAGAAAGAGAGAGAGACAGAGAGAGACAGAGAGAGAGAGACAGAGAGAGAGAGAGAGAGAGAAAGAGAGAGACAGAGAGAGAGCGAGAGAGAGAAAGAGAGAGAGAGACAGAGAAAGAGAGAGACAGAGAGAGCGAGAGAGAGAGCCAGAGAGAGAGAGAGAGAGAGAGAGA
Ictalurus punctatus (channel catfish) is the source of this 4781-nucleotide long non-coding RNA. Lineage: Eukaryota; Metazoa; Chordata; Actinopteri; Siluriformes; Ictaluridae. The record is from Ensembl.